Non-coding RNA from Hordeum vulgare subsp. vulgare (domesticated barley), 136 nucleotides. The record is from Rfam. Lineage: Eukaryota; Viridiplantae; Streptophyta; Magnoliopsida; Poales; Poaceae.
CAUCUACUCCCUCCGUCCUAAUAUUAUUGUCUUACAUUUGUCUAUAUAUAAAUGUAUCUAGUCACUUUUUAGUAUUUAGAUACAUCCUUUUUUAGACAAUCCUAAGACAAGAAUUUUAAGACGGAGGGAAUACAAU